AACGAACGCUGGCGGCGCGCUUAACACAUGCAAGUCGAACGAGAAGGCGUAGCAAUACGCUUGUAAAGUGGCGAACGGGUGAGGAAUACAUGGGUAACCUACCCUCGAGUGGGGGAUAACCCGCCGAAAGGCGGGCUAAUACCGCGUACGCUUCCGAUCUUGCGGGAUCGGAAGGAAAGCUGUCCCUUGGGGAUGGCGCUCAAGGAUGGGCUCAUGUCCUAUCAGCUUGUUGGUAGGGUAACGGCCUACCAAGGCAUCGACGGGUAGCUGGUCUGAGAGGACGAUCAGCCACACUGGCACUGCGACACGGGCCAGACUCCUACGGGAGGCAGCAGUGAGGAAUAUUGCGCAAUGGGCGAAAGCCUGACGCAGCGACGCCGCGUGGGGGAUGAAGGUCUUCGGAUUGUAAACCCCUUUCGGGUGGGAAGACGGCCCUAGACAACUAGGGCGGACGGUACCGCCAGAAGCAGCCACGGCUAACUUCGUGCCAGCAGCCGCCGCGGU
RNAcentral lists this ribosomal RNA (504 nucleotides) under uncultured bacterium. RNAcentral's name for it is "bacterial SSU rRNA". It matches the Rfam family "Bacterial small subunit ribosomal RNA", at positions 29 to 524 of the family's 1533-position model. The record is from RNAcentral.